This 66-nucleotide transfer RNA is filed under the name Phyllothelys shaanxiense. RNAcentral's name for it is "tRNA-Cys". Lineage: Eukaryota; Metazoa; Arthropoda; Insecta; Mantodea; Hymenopodidae. The record is from RNAcentral.
GGUCUUAUAUUCAUAAAAUGAUAUUGGAAUGCAAUUCUAAUGGUGUAAACUUAGGUACUAAGACUU